AUGAUUAGGACUGCUAUGUGGAGUCUUUAUGUAUUAUGUGUUGGAUAUUUUUAUUUCAGUAACUGUUGUUUAUUUUUUUUAAUUAAUUGUGAUAGUUAUUGGAAGUUUUAGUAUUGUGAAUAUAUGUAAAAGAGGCAGUGUAUGUUUAGUUUCCUUUAUAGAUCAAUUACAUGAAUGAAAGCAUUUAUUUCUCCUCUUGUUCAUUUCCUGCAACUAUUUCCUAUUAAAUUAACAACAAUUGGUAUUUAGAACCCUAUUCAUAAGGGAUCUGUGUGCAAGUUUAACGUCGUGGAAAGUGAAGCAACUCUCUCUAGAAUCGCUCUGACAGUGUUUGACAGAAGCAACUACCAACUUUGGGCAAUGUGUAUGAAGGCAUAUUUGGAAGCUUUAGAUUUGUGGGAAGCAGUAGGAAAAGAUUAUUAAAUUCAUGUACUUCAGAACAAUCCCACACCAUGACACAAGUAAAAGUGCAAAAGGAUAAAAAGACACAGAAAGCAAAGGCAAUGGCAUGCUAAUUUGACUCAACCACUAUUUUCACAAGAAUAAUGUCCUUAAAUUUGUUAAUUAUUUGCUUUUAGGACUGCAUUAUGUAGCUUUUCUUUAUGUUUAUUUUAUUUUGUGUCAGUUAUUUCAG
Molecule: long non-coding RNA, 634 nt
Filed under: Medicago truncatula (barrel medic)
Lineage: Eukaryota; Viridiplantae; Streptophyta; Magnoliopsida; Fabales; Fabaceae
Description: lncRNA gene13353
Source: RNAcentral